AAUGAACGCUGGCGGCAUGCCUUACACAUGCCAGUCGAACGGUAACGGGCCUUCGGGUGCCGACGAGUGGCGAACGGGUGAGUAAUACAUCGGAACGUGCCCGAUCGUGGGGGAUAACGAGGCGAAAGCUUUGCUAAUACCGCAUACGAUCUACGGAUGAAAGCAGGGGACCGCAAGGCCUUGCGCGGACGGAGCGGCCGAUGGCAGAUUAGGUAGUUGGUGGGAUAAAAGCUUACCAAGCCGACGAUCUGUAGCUGGUCUGAGAGGAUGAUCAGCCACAAUGGGAACGGAGAACCGGCCCGAAUCCCAAGGGAGGGCGCAGUGGGGGAUUUUGGAACAAGGGGGGCAGGCUUAUUCCGGCCUGGCGGGUGGCGGAUGGAAGCCCUUCGGGUUGUAAACGGUUUUUUUAGGAACGAAAAGCCUUCUUUUAAUACAGGAGGGUCAUGACGGUACCGUAAGAAUAAGCACCGGCUAACUACGUG
This 482-nucleotide ribosomal RNA is filed under the name uncultured bacterium. RNAcentral's name for it is "partial 16S ribosomal RNA". It matches the Rfam family "Bacterial small subunit ribosomal RNA", at positions 29 to 507 of the family's 1533-position model. The record is from RNAcentral.